RNAcentral lists this ribosomal RNA (449 nucleotides) under uncultured bacterium. Its description in RNAcentral is "bacterial SSU rRNA". It matches the Rfam family "Bacterial small subunit ribosomal RNA", at positions 328 to 793 of the family's 1533-position model. The record is from RNAcentral.
GAGCCAGACUCCUACGGGAGGCAGCAGUGGGGGAUAUUGCACAAUGGGGGGAACCCUGAUGCAGCGACGCCGCGUGGGUGAAGAAGUAUUUCGGUAUGUAAAGCCCUAUCGGCAGGGAAGAAAUUGGACGGUACCUGACUAAGAAGCCCCGGCUAACUACGUGCCAGCAGCCGCGGUAAUACGUAGGGGGCAAGCGUUAUCCGGAUUUACUGGGUGUAAAGGGGGCGCAGACGGCAGCGCAAGCCAGGAGUGAAAGCCCGGGGCCCAACCCCGGGACUGCUCUUGGAACUGCGCGGCUGGAGUGCAGGAGGGGCAGGCGGAAUUCCUGGUGUAGCGGUGAAAUGCGUAGAUAUCAGGAGGAACACCGGCGGCGAAGGCGGCCUGCUGGACCGCGACUGACGUUGAGGCUCGAAAGCGUGGGGAGCGAACAGGAUUAGAUACCCGUGUAC